Molecule: long non-coding RNA, 3087 nt
Filed under: Danio rerio (zebrafish)
Lineage: Eukaryota; Metazoa; Chordata; Actinopteri; Cypriniformes; Danionidae
Description: lncRNA (ENSDARG00000117545.1)
Source: RNAcentral
AUGUGAGGCUUCUGAAUCUGAACCGUCACGGAUGAUGAAAGCGGUGCAGACUCAGAGCGGUGCUCCUCCUGAAGCUCACAGGGAAGCACAGAGCGACGGCGUCCGACAGCUGCUGCAGGAUGAGCUCUUCAGACUGGUGCAGCUCCAGCAGAUCAACUUCAUGAGCCUCAUGCAGGUGGUCGGAGCGUCUUUCGCAAACCUGCCGCUGCCUCAAGCAAACCUGCAUCAGCCCGGUGGGAUUCCACCACAGCCCAGCUCGAUUACCCAGAAUAUCCAGCAAAACUUCCGAGAUGACACCAAUCAGCCAACACAAGCAUGCAGGCCUGACAGAGUGGCUAACAGCCAGGAUGAUGACCAGAGGGCUGAAAUGGAGCAGAGAAACCCACCCUGCAAAACUCAGGAAAUCGAGCACUUGACCAUUCGCUCAGACUGGCCAGAGGACGCUCAAACCAACAGCAGGAGUUUCAUCCCUACAUCUCAAGGGCUUCUGACCACAGCUGAUCAUCAGGCAUCCGGUAGCAAGAAAGUCUCUGAAGGCCAGCCGAGAGCAGCUCCACAAGCACAUGGACUCAGACUCCUGCAGCUCCAUCCUCCUCAAACUCUCCUGCCCAGACCUGCUGCUCCUCCUCCUCCACAUCAUGCUCCUUUUCCUCAUGCUCCUCCCUCUUCUUAUGCUCCUCCCCCUGUUCAUGCCACUCCUCCUUAUGCUCAGCCCCCUCCCUCUUCUCACGCUCCUCCUCCUCCCCAUCAUGCUCCACCUUCUCUGCAUGCUCCGCCUCUUCAUGAUCCUCCCACUGUUCAUGCCCCUCCUUCUCCUCAUGCUCCACCUUCUCUGCAUGCUCCUCCCCUUCAUUCUCCACCUUCUCGGCUUGCUCCUCCUUAUCAUGCCCCUCCUCCACAUUCUCAUGCUCUGCCUCUUUCCCAUGCCCCUCCUCCACAUGCUCCGCCUCCUCCUCAUCUCCCAGUGAAGCAGGCCUGGGGUCAGUCUGGAUCUGCCUUGGGAGUAGAUUAUUCUGCAGCUCCUCCAUCACAUCUCCCUCAGAGGACUGCAGGAGCUCCUGAAUCUCUCCGUUUGCCUUCUGCUGCUCUUAGAUCAGCUCCUGUCGGCCUGCCUCUGCUCAGAUUUCACCCUGAUGCCCAGAGACCCGUCACGCUGCCUCAUAUCCCACAAACCCCUGCGCUGAAACCACCCAAUCUGAGCUCCACUGCAGCAAAUCAGUAUUAUCCCAGAAUUCAGCUGCUGCACCGAGAGCCGGAUCCUCCUUGUUUGCGGUUCAGCUCUGCGCCGGUACGAACCCCUCGCCUCAUCCCGCUGGAGGAUCUGCUGAGAUGGAGCUCAGUGAAGCAAACCAGAGCAGAGCCCAAACUACAGCUAAUCAAGACUGAACCCGUCCCGCAGAACCAGAGCUCCAGCAGCCCGUCCAGCAAGAGGUCAAGACUGCAAACCACUCAUACCGUCAGAGACAAACACACACACCACAACAACAUCAGCUUUCUGACUAAUCUCCUCACCUCGUCUCAUUCAGAAAGAAGAGGAGAGAGGAGAAGAACCAAGAGCAGAAGCCUGGAGUCACCUUCAGACCCGAGGACUCCAUCAUUCCUCCAGAUGAGCCUGCAGAAGAUGAGCCAGAUCAGGAUGAUGGAUACACCAUUCCUUCAGGUAAUGAAAUACAUGCUUCUCAGAGAUUAUACACUCGGGAUGUUUUAUUCAGGGGAGCGUUUCCCUACCAUCGUUAGACAAAUACGAUCUCAAAUCAUAUCAUCACAAACAUUCACAAACAGCGUCGUAAUCUUGCAGCUGUUUACAGUUUUGUAUUAUGGAUUUUUUUUUAUCUAAGGGUGGCAUGGUGGCUUAGUGGCCAGCACUGUGGCCUCACAGCAAGGAGGUUGCUGGGUCGAGUUCCGGCUGGGUCAGUUGGCGUUUCUGUGUGGAGUUUGCAUGUUCUCCCCGUGUUGGCGUGCGUUUCCCCCACAGUCCAAACACAUGCGCUUUAGGGGAAUUGAUUAACUAAACUGUGUGUGUGUGUGUGUGUGUGUGUGUGUGUACGUGUUUAUGUGACAUAUCAGGACACAAAUCUGUAUAAUGUCAUGGGUAUGACACAGGUAUUACAAAAAGGAGGUGAAAUAUGAGGACAUUGGUGACGUCCUCAUUUCUCAAAAUGCUUAUAAAUCCUACAGAAUGAGUUUAAUCAGAGAGUAAAGCUGCACACUGACUUCUGUGAUGGUUGGGUUUAGGGGUGGGGUGAGGGGCAAUUUAAUAUACGGUUUGGACGGUAUAAAAUGAAUGGAAACCUAUGUAAUGUCCCCACUUUUCACAAAAACAAACGUGUGUGUGUGUGUGUGUGUGAGUGUGUGAGUGAGAAUGAGAGUGUAUAGGUGUUUCCCAGUAGUGGGUUGCAGUUGGAAGGGCAUCCGCUGUGUAAAACAUAUGCUGGAAUAAUUGGUGGUUCAUUCCGCUGUGGCGACCCCUGAUGAAUAAAGGGACUAAGCCGAAGAAAAAUGAAUGAAUGAACUAUACAAAAUUUGUUUUUGCUGUGUAUUUAGAUUUUUUUUGUAGUUUUUUUCACUGUUUUUCACAUUUGACACACACACACACAUGUUUGUUUUUGUGAAAAGUGGGGACAUUACAUAGGUUUCCAUUCAUUUUAUACCGUCCAAACCGUAUAUUGUAUUGCCCUCAGCCCACCCCACCCUAAACCCAACCAUCACAGGAGACUGUGUGCAGCUUUACUCUCUGAUUAAACUCAUUCUGUAUUAUUUAUAAGCAUUUUGAGAAACGAGGACGUCACCAAUGUCCUCAUAUUUCACCUCCUUUUUGUAAUACCUGUGUCAUAACCAUGUCAUUAUACAGAUUUGUGUCCUGAUAUGUCCCGAAAACACGUACACACACACACACACACACACACACACACACACACACACACACACACACACACACAAACAUAUAUAUAUAUAUAUAUUUAUAUAUAUAUAUGUAUAUAUGCGCAGUGUUUUUAAAAUAUUAAUUAUUAAUUAAUGCUUAUUAAUUGUAGUAGUUUAAAAGCCUUGUGAUUUCAAUUGGUCAACAAUGCAACAUUUUUGUUUAGG